UACGUAGGUGGCAAGCGUUGUCCGGAUUUACUGGGCGUAAGGAGCGCGCAGGCGGUCGGAUAAGUCGAAUGUGAAAGCCCCCGGCUCAACUGGGGAGGGUCAUUCGAUACUGUUCGACUCGAAGGCAGGAGAGGGAAGUGGAAUUCCCGGUGUAGUGGUGAAAUGCGUAGAUAUCGGGAGGAACACCAGUGGCGAAGGCGACUUCCUGGCCUGUUCUUGACGCUGAGGCGCGAAAGCUAGGGGAGCGAACAGG
RNAcentral lists this ribosomal RNA (253 nucleotides) under uncultured bacterium. RNAcentral describes it as "partial 16S ribosomal RNA". It matches the Rfam family "Bacterial small subunit ribosomal RNA", at positions 524 to 776 of the family's 1533-position model. The record is from RNAcentral.